CAUAUCUACCUGGACCCAGUGU
This 22-nucleotide microRNA is filed under the name Homo sapiens (human). RNAcentral describes it as "Hsa-Mir-3690_3p* (star (passenger))". The record is from RNAcentral. Lineage: Eukaryota; Metazoa; Chordata; Mammalia; Primates; Hominidae.